Molecule: unclassified non-coding RNA, 320 nt
Filed under: fungal sp.
Lineage: Eukaryota; Fungi
Description: partial internal transcribed spacer region
Rfam family: Eukaryotic small subunit ribosomal RNA (bases 1-46)
Source: RNAcentral
AAGUCGUAACAAGGUUUCCGUAGGUGAACCUGCGGAAGGAUCAUUAACACGUAUCCCCCGUGCAUAUUAACCCUACUCUAAGCAAUCUCUGGUAAAUCACACAGAACAGUUUGAUUCAGAGACUUCUUUGAAGACGUCGGGGAUCGAGCGGAGAGCAAAUAGACUUGGUUCCGAAAGGAUAACUGAUACGAUCGUUGGCCCUCACGGUCAACGGACAAGUCUCUGGGGCUUCGGCUCCCCUUCUAUUUAACCCCUGGUCGGGCUUGCAAACUACAGGCCCACAAAACGAACAACUGUUAACAAUGGAUAUCUUGGUUCUC